UACGUAGGGUGCAAGCGUUGUCCGGAAUUAUUGGGCGUAAAGAGCUCGUAGGCGGUUUGUUGCGUCGGCUGUGAAAUCCCGAGGCUCAACCUCGGGUCUGCAGUCGAUACGAGCAAACUAGAGUGUUGCAGGGGAGACUGGAAUUCCUGGUGUAGCGGUGAAAUGCGCAGAUAUCAGGAGGAACACCGGUGGCGAAGGCGGCUCUCUGGGACGGUACUGACGCUGAGACGCGAAAGCGUGGGGAGCGAACAGG
Molecule: ribosomal RNA, 253 nt
Filed under: uncultured bacterium
Lineage: Bacteria
Description: partial 16S ribosomal RNA
Rfam family: Bacterial small subunit ribosomal RNA
Source: RNAcentral